This 2032-nucleotide ribosomal RNA is filed under the name Dolichospermum sp. FACHB-1091. RNAcentral describes it as "partial 23S ribosomal RNA". It matches the Rfam family "Bacterial large subunit ribosomal RNA", at positions 1 to 2130 of the family's 2925-position model. The record is from RNAcentral. Lineage: Bacteria; Bacillati; Cyanobacteriota; Cyanophyceae; Nostocales; Aphanizomenonaceae.
GUGGUCAAGCUAAUAAGGGCUAAUGGUGGAUACCUAGGCACACAGAGGCGAAGAAGGACGUGGUUACCGACGAAAUGUUCCGGGGAGUUGGAAGCAAACUGAGAGCCGGAAAUAUCCGAAUGGGGCAACCCUAAAUACUACCUGUUGAAUAUAUAGACAGGAAAGAGCCAACCCAGCGAACUGAAACAUCUUAGUAGCUGGAGGAAGAGAAAUCAAAACAGAGAUUCCCUAAGUAGUGGUGAGCGAAAGGGGAAGAGCCUAAACCAAAGGAUUUAUCCUUUGGGGUAGUGGGACAGCGAUAUCGAAUCACUUAGACUAGACGAAACAGCUAAAUACUGUACCAGAGGGGGUGAAAGUCCCGUAGUUGAAAGUCAAAGGAUAGUAGCUGAAUCCCGAGUAGUACGGAGCACGAGGAAUUCCGUAUGAAUCAGCGAGGACCACCUCGUAAGGCUAAAUACUACUGUGUGACCGAUAGAGAACAAGUACCGCGAGGGAAAGGUGAAAAGAACCCCGGGAGGGGAGUGAAAUAGAACAUGAAACCAUAGGCUUACAAGCAGUGGGAGUCCGAUUAAACGGAUGACCGCGUGCCUGUUGAAGAAUGAGCCGGCGACUUAUAGGCACUGGUAGGUUAAAGCGAGAAUGCUGGAGCCAAAGGGAAACCGAGUCUGAAGAGGGCGAAAAUCAGUGUUUAUAGACCCGAACCCUGGUGAUCUAACCAUGUCCAGGAUGAAGCUUGGGUAACACCAAGUGGAGGUCCGAACCGACUGAUGUUGAAAAAUCAGCGGAUGAGGUGUGGUUAGGGGUGAAAUACCAAUCGAACCAGGAGCUAGCUGGUUCUCCCCGAAAUGUGUUGAGGCGCAGCGGUAAUGAUUAAAUUUGGGGGGUAAAGCACUGUUUCGGUGCGGGCUGGGAGACCGGUACCAAAUCGAGACAAACUCAGAAUACCCAGAGAACACAUUGCCAGUGAGACAGUGGGGGAUAAGCUUCAUUGUCAAGAGGGAAACAGCCCAGACCACCAGCUAAGGUCCCCAAAUCAUCACUAAGUGAUAAAGGAGGUGAGAAUGCCUAGACAACUAGGAGGUUUGCCUAGAAGCAGCCACCCUUGAAAGAGUGCGUAAUAGCUCACUAGUCAAGCGUUCUCGCGCCGAAAAUGAACGGGGCUAAGUGAUGUACCGAAGCUGUGGGAUUACUAAAAAUAAUCGGUAGGGGAGCGUUCCGUAGUAGGGAGAAGCAGUAGCGGCGAGCAGCUGUGGACGAAACGGAAGUGAGAAUGUCGGCUUGAGUAGCGCAAAUGUAUGUGAGAAUCAUACACCCCGAAACCCUAAGGGUUCCAGAGCCAGGUUCGUCCACUCUGGGUUAGUCGGGACCUAAGGCGAGGCCGAAAGGCGUAGUCGAUGGACAAAGUGUCAAUAGUCACUUACUGUUCUGUGGGAGCAUAGACAGGGACGCAUGAAAGAUAGCCAUACCCUAAUUGGUUUGGGAGGGGUUUACGAACUCCGAGUGGUGAAGGAAAGUGCCAAGAAAAGCUGUGUAUGUGAUGAAGAUAGAACACCCGUACCCGAAACCGACACAGGUAGGGAGGUUGAGAAUACCAAGGGGCGCGAGAUAACUCUCUCUAAGGAACUCGGCAAAAUGGCCCCGUAACUUCGGAAGAAGGGGUGCCCACUGUAUAAGUGGGUCGCAGUGAAGAGAUCCAAGCGACUGUUUACCAAAAACACAGGUCUCCGCUAACUCGCAAGAGGACGUAUGGGGGCUGACGCCUGCCCAGUGCCGGAAGGUUAAGGAAGCUGGUCAGCGAAAGUAAAGCUGGCGACCGAAGCCCCGGUGAACGGCGGCCGUAACUAUAACGGUCCUAAGGUAGCGAAAUUCCUUGUCGGGUAAGUUCCGACCCGCACGAAAGGCGUAACGAUUUGGAUGGUGUCUCAGAGAGAGACUCGGCGAAAUAGGAAUGUCUGUGAAGAUACGGACUGCCUGCACCUGGACAGAAAGACCCUAUGAAGCUUUACUGUAGCCUGGAAUUGUGUUCGGGCUU